UACGGGGGGGGCAAGCGUUGUUCGGAAUUACUGGGCGUAAAGGGCUCGUAGGUGGCCAACUAAGUCAGACGUGAAAUCCCUCGGCUUAACCGGGGAACUGCGUCUGAUACUGGAUGGCUUGAGUUUGGGAGAGGGAUGCGGAAUUCCAGGUGUAGCGGUGAAAUGCUUAGAUAUGACAUAGAACACCAAUUGCGAAGGCAGCUGGCUACACAAAUAUUGACACUGAGGCACGAAAGCGUGGGGAUCAAACAGG
This 253-nucleotide ribosomal RNA is filed under the name uncultured bacterium. RNAcentral describes it as "partial 16S ribosomal RNA". It matches the Rfam family "Bacterial small subunit ribosomal RNA", at positions 524 to 776 of the family's 1533-position model. The record is from RNAcentral.